This 429-nucleotide ribosomal RNA is filed under the name Actinomycetes bacterium. RNAcentral's name for it is "Actinobacteria bacterium partial 16S ribosomal RNA". It matches the Rfam family "Bacterial small subunit ribosomal RNA", at positions 355 to 776 of the family's 1533-position model. The record is from RNAcentral. Lineage: Bacteria; Bacillati; Actinomycetota; Actinomycetes.
UAGGUAAUCUUCCGCAAUGGGCGAAAGCCUGACGGAGCAACGCCGCGUGAGUGAUGAAGGUCUUCGGAUCGUAAAACUCUGUUAUUAGGGAAGAACAAAUGUGUAAGUAACUAUGCACGUCUUGACGGUACCUAAUCAGAAAGCCACGGCUAACUACGUGCCAGCAGCCGCGGUAAUACGUAGGUGGCAAGCGUUAUCCGGAAUUAUUGGGCGUAAAUCGCGCGUAGGCGGUUUUUUAAGUCUGAUGUGAAAGCCCACGGCUCAACCGUGGAAGAGCAUUGGAAACUGGAAAAAUUGAGUGCAGAAGGGGAAAGUGGAAUUCCAUGUGGAGCGGUGAAAUGCGAGGAGAUAUGGAGGCACUCCAGUGGCGAAGGCAACUUUCUGGUCUGUAACUGAAGCUGAUGUGCGAAAGCGUGGGGAUCAAACAGG